Molecule: ribosomal RNA, 1556 nt
Filed under: Aphanizomenon flos-aquae CCAP 1401/5
Lineage: Bacteria; Bacillati; Cyanobacteriota; Cyanophyceae; Nostocales; Aphanizomenonaceae
Description: bacterial SSU rRNA
Rfam family: Bacterial small subunit ribosomal RNA
Source: RNAcentral
UGAUCCUGGCUCAGGAUGAACGCUGGCGGUAUGCUUAACACAUGCAAGUCGAACGGUCUUUUAGGAGACAGUGGCGGACGGGUGAGUAACGCGUAAGAAUCUACCUUCAGGUUGGGGACAACCACUGGAAACGGUGGCUAAUACCGAAUGUGCCGAGAGGUGAAAGGCUUGCUGCCUGAAGAAGAGCUUGCGUCUGAUUAGCUAGUUGGUAGUGUAAGAGACUACCAAGGCGACGAUCAGUAGCUGGUCUGAGAGGAUGAUCAGCCACACUGGGACUGAGACACGGCCCAGACUCCUACGGGAGGCAGCAGUGGGGAAUUUUCCGCAAUGGGCGAAAGCCUGACGGAGCAAUACCGCGUGAGGGAGGAAGGCUCUUGGGUUGUAAACCUCUUUUCUCAGGGAAGAACAGAAUGACGGUACCUGAGGAAUAAGCAUCGGCUAACUCCGUGCCAGCAGCCGCGGUAAUACGGAGGAUGCAAGCGUUAUCCGGAAUGAUUGGGCGUAAAGGGUCCGCAGGUGGCAUUGUAAGUCUGCUGUUAAAGAGUUUGGCUCAACCAAAUAAGAGCAGUGGAAACUACAAAGCUAGAGUGUGGUCGGGGCAGAGGGAAUUCCUGGUGUAGCGGUGAAAUGCGUAGAUAUCAGGAAGAACACCAGUGGCGAAGGCGCUCUGCUAGGCCGAGACUGACACUGAGGGACGAAAGCUAGGGGAGCGAAUGGGAUUAGAUACCCCAGUAGUCCUAGCCGUAAACGAUGGAUACUAGGCGUAGCUCGUAUCGACCCGAGCUGUGCCGGAGCUAACGCGUUAAGUAUCCCGCCUGGGGAGUACGCAGGCAACUGUGAAACUCAAAGGAAUUGACGGGGGCCCGCACAAGCGGUGGAGUAUGUGGUUUAAUUCGAUGCAACGCGAAGAACCUUACCAAGGCUUGACAUGUCACGAAUCCUAUUGAAAGAUGGGAGUGCCUUCGGGAGCGUGAACACAGGUGGUGCAUGGCUGUCGUCAGCUCGUGUCGUGAGAUGUUGGGUUAAGUCCCGCAACGAGCGCAACCCUCGUUUUUAGUUGCCAGCAUUAAGAUGGGCACUCUAGAGAGACUGCCGGUGACAAACCGGAGGAAGGUGGGGAUGACGUCAAGUCAGCAUGCCCCUUACGUCUUGGGCUACACACGUACUACAAUGCUCCGGACAAAGGGCAGCUACACAGCGAUGUGAUGCGAAUCUCAUAAACCGGAGCUCAGUUCAGAUCGAAGGCUGCAACUCGCCUUCGUGAAGGAGGAAUCGCUAGUAAUUGCAGGUCAGCAUACUGCAGUGAAUUCGUUCCCGGGCCUUGUACACACCGCCCGUCACACCAUGGAAGUUGGUCACGCCCGAAGUCGUUACCCCAACCUAUUGGAGGGGGAUGCCUAAGGUAGGACUGAUGACUGGGGUGAAGUCGUAACAAGGUAGCCGUACCGGAAGGUGUGGCUGGAUCACCUCCUUUUAGGGAGACCUAAUCCAUUUAGAAAUUGACGGUGAUGAAAAUUGCCAAUAAAAACUAAAUUGGUCUAACCUAGGUCGGUCGA